This 482-nucleotide ribosomal RNA is filed under the name uncultured bacterium. RNAcentral describes it as "partial 16S ribosomal RNA". It matches the Rfam family "Bacterial small subunit ribosomal RNA", at positions 28 to 507 of the family's 1533-position model. The record is from RNAcentral.
GACGAACGCUGGCGGCGUGCUUAACACAUGCAAGUCGAACGAUGAAGCAGAGACACGCGAACUUCGGUUCAAAUUUCACUUCGGAUUAGUGGCAGACGGGUGAGUAACGCGUGAGCAACCUACCUCUUACAAAGGGAUAGCCUCGGGAAACCGUGAUUAAUACCAUAUGACACAUUCAUAAGGCAUCUUAAGAAUGUUAAAGCUACGGCGGUAAGAGAUGGGCUCGCGUCCCAUUAGCUAGUUGGUGAGGUAACGGCCCACCAAGGCGACGAUGGGUAACCGGCCUGAGAGGGUGAACGGUCACAUUGGAACUGAGACACGGUCCAAACUCCUACGGGAGGCAGCAGUGGGGAAUAUUGCACAAUGGAGGGAACUCUGAUGCAGCGACGCCGCGUGAGCGAUGAAGGAAUUCGUUUCGUAAAGCUCUGUUCUAUGGGAAGAAAAGGACUGUACCAUAGGAGAAAGCCCCGGCUAAAUACGUG